RNAcentral lists this transfer RNA (108 nucleotides) under Candidatus Aminicenantota bacterium. RNAcentral describes it as "tRNA-Gln". Lineage: Bacteria; Candidatus Aminicenantota. The record is from RNAcentral.
CAGGAAGAGGCUGGCUGAGCUGAAGGACUAAAGAUUUUAUAGAGUUUAUAAAAAGCGCAGAUGACUCUGGAUCAUGGAAUCGGGGUUCGAAUCCCUGCUUCCCAGCCA